CUCCGCGUCGUCGCGACGCUCCUUCUCUUUCUCUCUAUCUCGUUCCUCUCGGCUCUCUCGGUGGCGUCCGCAGCAUCCGCGUCGCGUUUCGUCGACUAUUCCAUCGAAAGAGACACUGUUGUUCAUUUUCCUACGAUAAAUACAAGCGAAACGAACUUAGGGGUUGAAAACGAUCGCAAUAUAUAAGCUGAUAUAAAACAAAUAAAAAUAAUAAUACAUUUUUAUCAUCAUCACUCGAAAGUGUUUCCUUCGAUCCACACAAGCAGAAAAGAAAAAUUUGCAAAAAUUUACAGCUUUAAGAAAAAGUUGCAAUAUCUCCGUCAGUAUAAAUUCACAGAAGAUUGAAAGAACUGUCCACUCAUAAAAAAUUUGUUUCUUUAGUUCUUCUUUUUCGUUGCAUAUUUUACAUUAAAGGAAACGCAAUUUGCAAUUUAUUACAUCGACGUGAAAAUUCUUUGUCUUAAACAAAAAGAGACGGAGGAGAACGAGAUUGAGUGAUGGUAGUACAUGAAUUUUCUACAGAGAAGUUAUUAGAGACGAAGAGACGACUUUUUUGUGUUAGAAUGGUGAAAAGAGAAGCCAAAUCGUGAAGUUUUACUAGACGUGAUCCAUCUUGGUGUUCCGAUGAAGUGAUCUAUCGAUUUUUGUCGCGGAAACGUACAUCAAGAUUCUUCGUCUCGAAAAGUCACGCACGAGCGUUUUUCACCCCUUGCCUUCCGGAGCGUCGCGCACUCACUCAAGCCUUAUCGGCACUCGUGGAUUUACUACUGCCGAAAACUCGUCGACUCAUCCGCACGCCCGUAUAUAUAGACGCGGUGGAUGCAAAGCACUGCGAUGCAUCGCGCGUUUAAAGGUACAUCAUCAGAGAUCGAAAUCACGCAUCGUUUUUCAGACGCGCCUGGACGACUCGUGAGUCACGAUUCAUCUUUCGAGUGCGUCAUCAGACGCGCUCAAACACUCGCAAUCGUGCAGAUCUUCGACGCUCUCGACGAUGAAGAAGCAGUGCUUAAAAAAACUGGUGGCCCAUCAGCGAGACAGAUCCUCGAAAACUCGCGAUCGACAGGGAUGAAAGGUCAUUCAGAAACGUUCAAAGUACGCGUGCCUCGAGCGGGACACGGGCGUCUCGUUUGGAGAUUCAGCACCGUAGUCACGUGGGGAAAUAAGCGGUUAACCGAUGACAAUGGAACACAAACAGACAAUCUUGCUGGCACCUUCACUAAGCAACAGCAGCUGUUGGCGAGGCGGCACGUCCGAAGCCGCUUGGACAGGUCCAGGUCCUGGAGAACUAAUACGAGCUACCCUGAUAUUGAUGCUAAGUCUUGGUAUUCUGUGCGCCAAUCUUCUGGUGAUAUGCGUUAUCAAUAGCAGACGAUAUAGCAAGUACAUACAUGCUCAGCCCAGAUAUCUGUUGACGAGCUUAGCAAGUAACGACCUUGCGAUUGGUCUUUUAGUGACGCCAUUCGGUUUCUUACCAGCUGUUUACGGAUGCUGGCCGUAUGGUGAAGUUGUCUGUCAAAUUCAGGUAAUUAUUACAAUAUACAUAUAUUAUGGCUAUAUUUUUUUAAUCAAAAAUUACUUUACUAAAUGCAAAUCGUGCUACCAUUUUUCUAUAUAUAGUCGACUAAAGUAGUUCCUUAUUUUAUUCCUUUAAUUAAAACUAAAAAAUAAAUAUCAUACACAUGAACGUGUUUGUUAAUAAUGUAUCGAUUAUGUAACGAUGCUGUAUUUUUAUAUCUAACGUAAAUAAAUGCUCCCUAGGCUAUAAUAUUGGAGAUUAUGAUAUCUUUUAUAACGUUAUACGCAUUAAAAAGCCGCUCAAUAACCUCGCAUAUCUCGAUAGUUUUCUUUGCCAGAAAUCGAGGAAUUUAUAGGAAAUCUUGGAAUAGUGUUCGCGAUGCUUGGCAGGAAAUUAUUAUCGUUUGAAACUCACAGCUGCGCUUCCGGCGCAGAAGGAGAGGGAGAGAGAGAGCCGGCACUUCUUCCGCUAUUUCCUCUACCAGUCGGUGGCUGCGACGUUAUCGGAGUUCCUGACGAUAAUCUUUACGCGUUGCACCUUUCCCUCCUACCUCUUCCUCGUUCUCUACGCCAUCUUCUGAGGUAACAGCCUGAUUUGUGACCGUAUAUUUCUUCAUUUCGCACGUGCUAAACUCCGAAGUGCGCCAUUCCACCGGUAGAUCCCGAAUUUCGUCGUAUUUGCUUAUCUAGCCGAAACGGGAAAUUGUCGUAACAUUCUCGGGAGGGAAAUUAGUAAACAGAAAAUUAUACGCAAAUUCGCCAUACGUACAUAAUUUAUAGCAGAUAUUUAAUGCAUUUUACUAAUUACGAUUUAAUAUAUGUUUAAAAAAAGAUUUAUCUUCUUUUUCAAUAGUAGAUGAGAACGUAGAGUGUAAGGUAUCCA
Nylanderia fulva is the source of this 2398-nucleotide non-coding RNA. The record is from RefSeq and is a predicted model, not a curated record. Lineage: Eukaryota; Metazoa; Arthropoda; Insecta; Hymenoptera; Formicidae.